CCUACGGGGCGCAGCAGUGGGGAAUAUUGCACAAUGGGGGAAACCCUGAUGCAGCGACGCCGCGUGAGUGAAGAAGUAUUUCGGUAUGUAAAGCUCUAUCAGCAGGGAAGAAAAUGACGGUACCUGAUUCAGAAGCCCCGGCUAACUACGUGCCAGCAGCCGCGGUAAUACGUAGGGGGCAAGCGUUAUCCGGAUUUACUGGGUGUAAAGGGAGCGUAGACGGCAGCACAAGUCUGGAGUGAAAUGCCGGGGCUUAACCCCGGAACUGCUUUGGAAACUGUGCAGCGAGAGUGCAGGAGAGGUAAGUGGAAUUCCUAGUGUAGCGGUGAAAUGCGUAGAUAUUAGGAGGAACACCAGUGGCGAAGGCGGCUUACUGGACUGUAACUGACGUUGAGGCUCGAAAGCGUGGGGAGCAAACAGGAUUAGAUACCCGGGUAGUC
This 440-nucleotide ribosomal RNA is filed under the name uncultured bacterium. Its description in RNAcentral is "partial 16S ribosomal RNA". It matches the Rfam family "Bacterial small subunit ribosomal RNA", at positions 338 to 795 of the family's 1533-position model. The record is from RNAcentral.